UAUGAAGAACGCAGCGAAAUGCGAUAAGUAAUGUGAAUUGCAGAAUUCAGUGAAUCAUCGAAUCUUUGAACGCACAUUGCGCCCUCUGGUAUUCCGGGGGGCAUGCCUGUUCGAGCGUCAUUACAACCCUCAAGCUCUGCUUGGUAUUGGGCUCUGCCGGUCCUGGCAGGCCUCAAAGUCAGUGGCGGUGCCAUCCGGCUCCAAGCGUAGUAAUUCUUCUCGCUUCGGAGGCCGCGGUGCGUGCUAGCCAGCAACCCCCAAUUUUUUUCAGGUUGACCUCGGAUCAGGUAGGGAUACCCGCUGAACUUAAGCAUAUCAAUAAGCGGAGGA
This 330-nucleotide unclassified non-coding RNA is filed under the name soil metagenome. Its description in RNAcentral is "partial contains 5.8S ribosomal RNA, internal transcribed spacer 2, and large subunit ribosomal RNA". The stretch from base 2 to 120 matches the Rfam family "5.8S ribosomal RNA", at positions 36 to 154 of the family's 154-position model. The record is from RNAcentral.